CUGAAAUGUUACACAGUUGAUAGAGGUUCUCGAU
Molecule: small RNA, 34 nt
Filed under: Bombyx mori (domestic silkworm)
Lineage: Eukaryota; Metazoa; Arthropoda; Insecta; Lepidoptera; Bombycidae
Description: ovarian small RNA-14851
Source: RNAcentral